CCCCCCCCCCACCCCCACCCUGCCACUGCUUCGGGACGACUGGAUCGCCGCGCCUGGGCCGGAGCGAGCCAUCUGCGGGCACUAUGCAAAGCGGGAGACGGCGCGAGCGGCGCCCGGCUCACACUAGCUCUUCCAGGACGCAGAGAGAACCAUUCUCUGCUUUCAAUAGGACAGAAGAGCUCCUUGGCACUGGAUGCCUCCGGGUCUGGUUGAGAGAGGAAUGGUUAGGAGAUUGUUCUGAGGAUAUGCAGACAUCAUCCAAAGCUUCCUACAUUCAGAUGAGGACAGAGGUUGGGCUAGAGCUUUGUAUGCUUGUUACCUAAGUAUGGUUCUGACCAUGUAAGCAGAUCACAGAAGAGCCAGCCUUGACAAUGUGCUGAUGGCAACCU
RNAcentral lists this non-coding RNA (389 nucleotides) under Pongo abelii (Sumatran orangutan). The record is from RNAcentral. Lineage: Eukaryota; Metazoa; Chordata; Mammalia; Primates; Hominidae.